CAAGGUGUAGUUUAGUUGUAAAAUUUUACUUUUGGGAUGUAGAGAGGGUGUUUCCUUGA
RNAcentral lists this transfer RNA (59 nucleotides) under Aspiculuris sp. PC-2022. RNAcentral's name for it is "tRNA-Gln". The record is from RNAcentral. Lineage: Eukaryota; Metazoa; Nematoda; Chromadorea; Rhabditida; Heteroxynematidae.